RNAcentral lists this ribosomal RNA (352 nucleotides) under Lysinibacillus macroides. Its description in RNAcentral is "bacterial SSU rRNA". It matches the Rfam family "Bacterial small subunit ribosomal RNA", at positions 46 to 386 of the family's 1533-position model. The record is from RNAcentral. Lineage: Bacteria; Bacillati; Bacillota; Bacilli; Caryophanales; Bacillaceae.
GCAUAAUACAUGCAAGUUGCUGAGAAUUGCGAGGAGCUUGCUCCCUGAGAUUAGCGGCGGACGGGUGAGUAACACGUGGGCAACCUGCCUAUAAGACUGGGAUAACUUCGGGAAACCGGAGCUAAUACCGGAUACGUUCUUUUCUCGCAUGAGAGAAGAUGGAAAGACGGUUUACGCUGUCACUUAUAGAUGGGCCGCGCGGCGCAUUAGCUAGUUGGUGAGGUAAUGGCUCACCAAGGCGACGAUGCGUAGCCGACCUGAGAGGGUGAUCGGCCACACUGGGACUGAGACACGGCCCAGACUCCUACGGGAGGCAGCAGUAGGGAAUCUUCCGCAAUGGACGAAAGUCUGA